AGGCUAUUAUGCUAAAAAUUAGGGCUUCUAACCCAAAUUUGAUUGGUUAAAUCCCAGUCAUAGCCUU
This 67-nucleotide transfer RNA is filed under the name Urechis unicinctus. RNAcentral describes it as "tRNA-Ser". The record is from RNAcentral. Lineage: Eukaryota; Metazoa; Annelida; Polychaeta; Xenopneusta; Urechidae.